Molecule: long non-coding RNA, 737 nt
Organism: Nicotiana tabacum (common tobacco)
Lineage: Eukaryota; Viridiplantae; Streptophyta; Magnoliopsida; Solanales; Solanaceae
Source: RefSeq, a predicted model, not a curated record
UUUAAUAAUCGGUGUGGCUAACAACUGGUUUCCACCUCCAUUUUCACUUAUACACCCAAACACUUCUCUUUCUUUCUUCAAACAUAUCUUCCUUCUACUUUCCCUCACUUUAUUAUCUUCUCUGUUAUCAUAUUCUCUCUGCAAAAUUCUAUUCCUAUAAAUAGGUCCUCCUCCAUUGUUGCAAAUUAGUCCUUCUUCAGUGUUUCUUGGAGACUCAGGACUACGAUAUGACCAUUCAAAGUUACCGCAUCUUAUGGAAAUAAACCAUACAUAUUUGUGUGAACAUCGAUCCUAAUUCACAGACUAUGUCAAGGAGCACAUUCCACUGGUUCCAUCUACUGUAGCAACCAUAUUGAGAAUGCAGUAGCAUGAUUGCUUUGUCAGGAUUGAAGUGUGACAAGAGGAGUUCAACGUGGUUAUUGGACAGAUUGUGAUAAGACGUCCUUUUUCUUGGGGAUGUUGCGUUUCAUGGCUGCAGGUCCCGAUAGAUAUAUUGGUAGUCCUCCUUGUAGGCUAUUAGCUCAAUGGAAGGUGUUGGUGCACUCCACUUGCUCCGGAGUUGCCUAUUUGAUCAGUAUGCUUAGGACAUAUAUUGACUGGUAUGGCGGGGCCCUGUCCUGGCCUUUAUGAUGUUUAUGUACUUUUAGAGCCUUGUAGACAUAUGUCAUAUAUAUGGAUGAUUGUAUGGCCUCGUCAGCCUAUGAUUUGAGUGUAUAAAUGAUCAUUUCGGUCUUAUA